AAGUUAUGAUGUGGAAAUUUCCUCAAUAGGUCUUUAAAUCUCUCUCAAGCUUCAUACAAACUCUCUUGAUCAUGUUGGCCAAAAAGUUAUUAUCUCAUUGCAAAGCUU
This 108-nucleotide small nucleolar RNA is filed under the name Jatropha curcas. RNAcentral's name for it is "Plant small nucleolar RNA R71". It matches the Rfam family "Plant small nucleolar RNA R71". Rfam says of the family: R71 is a member of the C/D box family of snoRNAs containing the C (UGAUGA) and D (CUGA) box motifs. The record is from Rfam by way of RNAcentral. Lineage: Eukaryota; Viridiplantae; Streptophyta; Magnoliopsida; Malpighiales; Euphorbiaceae.